RNAcentral lists this ribosomal RNA (253 nucleotides) under uncultured bacterium. RNAcentral describes it as "partial 16S ribosomal RNA". It matches the Rfam family "Bacterial small subunit ribosomal RNA", at positions 524 to 776 of the family's 1533-position model. The record is from RNAcentral.
CACGUAGGGCGCAAGCGUUGUCCGGAAUUAUUGGGCGUAAAGAGCUCGUAGGCGGUCUGUUGCGUCUGCUGUGAAAACUCGGGGCUUAACCCCGAGCCUGCAGUGGAUACGGGCAGACUAGAGGUAGGUAGGGGAGAAUGGAAUUCCCGGUGUAGCGGUGAAAUGCGCAGAUAUCGGGAGGAACACCGGUGGCGAAGGCGGCGACCUGGUCCGUGACUGACGCUGAGGCGCGAAAGCGUGGGGAGCAAACAGG